UACGGAGGAUGCAAGCGUUAUCCGGAUUCAUUGGGUUUAAAGGGUGCGUAGGCGGAAUAUUAAGUCAGUGGUGAAAUCCUGCAGCUUAACUGUAGAACUGCCAUUGAUACUGAUAUUCUUGAAUGUAGUUGAGGUGGGCGGAAUAUGUAAUGUAGCGGUGAAAUGCUUAGAUAUUACAUAGAACACCGAUUGCGAAGGCAGCUCACUAAGCUAUGAUUGACGCUGAGGCACGAAAGCGUGGGGAGCGAACAGG
This 253-nucleotide ribosomal RNA is filed under the name uncultured bacterium. RNAcentral describes it as "partial 16S ribosomal RNA". It matches the Rfam family "Bacterial small subunit ribosomal RNA", at positions 524 to 776 of the family's 1533-position model. The record is from RNAcentral.